CCCUCGGCAUAAAUGGAGCAGGUCUGGCUUCAGCGCGAACAAAUGCAGCGGACAGAGGAAAUCUUAUAUCCUCUUCCUCCUUGGACUUCCCGUUGGCAGCUUCUCCUGGGAAUCUGCUGAUAGCAGAUCUUUGUGUUCCCAGUUAAUUGACAAGGCCAGGCAGGAGGAAGAGGGGGCUGUGACCGCACGAGGGAGGGGGGGACUGUGACAGCCUGGGAGCUCUAGGGGACAAAUGGGGCCGGAACCCAAAGGAGACACAGCGGUUCAUUGAAUUCCGAUGUGUGGACUCAACCUUUACAGAUGAGUUUACCUCAUUAGAUUUCCAGAACUCUAAUAAUCAUGUAACAGUGAUCCUGCUAGCUAGCACUGGCCCAGCAGGCAGGAGCCGUCGCUCUGUGAGUAGGAGCUCGCGGGCGGCUCUGUACUAUUUCUACCCUUGGCUUUUCAGAUUUUUGUGUUCAGCACACAGAAGCUCAUUUAAAGCAGAGUAACUCAGACAAGCAGGUGAGGGGCCCUGCUUGGAUUCCCGACCAUGGAGCGGGGCUGAGGCUUUUGAGCCUCAAGGGCUGGCAGGGACCCCGAGGGGAGCAUGGGGCACUUCUGCCCUCUCCCCAUGGCUUAUCUGGAGGGCUUUGCCCAGUGGAAAUUUCUCGGCGACUCUGGGCCUGCGCAGCCGGACCGUGUCGUGGCAGUGACGUGCCUCCCUCUGGGAACAGAACACCCUCCCUGGAGCUCGUGGCCUCAUGCGUAGAUGGUGGCGAGCGCCUGUUUGCCAAGCCUUCUGUCGCCUCCCUCUCUGAGUCCCAUUGAGAUCACGGAAACGGAAAGUAAACAACCGCAGAGUGAAAGGCCUCGCAGAGAAUUUACUUUAGAGUAUUGUUCCAGGAUCUGCGCAGAGAUAAAGACCAAGUGGAGUGAAUGAGUGGCUCUGCAGGCCAGGCACUGAGGAGCCCAGCGUGUCCCUGCCUGAGGCCUUCUGGAUGAAGACAGCUUGGCAGAGACUACUAGCAAGGGUAGCGUGGCUAUGACUCGCCCUCUGUGCAUCGAGUGCCGGUGGGCCCCUCAUUUCCCGAGAACCUGCUUUGCAGUGCCACCUGCUCUUCCACGGAAGAUGCUGUCCACACAGCGUGCUUCCCUGUCCUCUGCAAAGGGCUGUGAGCCGCCUAGCCGGGACCUGGCUCCCCAGGAAGCUGCUUGCCUUCAGACAGUAACAGCACAGGGACUUGCGUGUUUUACCGCCUUCUCUGAUCUAACUUCUCGGCUAAGUGUGGCGAGCGAGAUCUCCACUUCAUUAAAGGGAGCUUAGCAGCCUUGUCUCACUGCUGCGGACUGUUUGGGAGCUCAAGCAAAGAAAUAGCCUUCUGCACAGCCUUGGCUGUGACUGCGGUGGGCGGCAGCGGCCACAGCACUGACUUGGGGCUGUCUUCGCAGAAGCGCCUGGUGAAUGUGGUGUCUGCUGCGGAAGGGCAGCAGUUUCCAUCGUUUCUGCUCACGUUCUCUCGAGCCUUAAUGGGAGACACGCUGGUCGCCCACGUGCAGUUUCUGAGCCUUCACCUACCACAAGCCCUGCUCGCUGAUGCUCAUGUGUGCUGCCUCUGGGGUCAGACAGUCACAGAAACAGGGAGAAGGAUCGAGAGCACCAGGGGGAGACCACGUGCGAACAGCAAAGGUCAGAGGAGAGUGGGAGAGGCUUCUGACUCCCCCCCAGGGCCAGGAAGUCUCUGGAUUUGACAGCUGCUACCAUACACACCUUUCUUCUCUCAUCAUGAACCCCGGAGAGCCCGUGUUUGUCUCCUUCCUGUACGUUCUGUUCCACCUGGACGUGUUCCCUCUCUAGGGGUGCCAUUCCCUGUCUCCACGCAUCCUGUGCAGCUGCCAGCCAAUGCCGCAGAUCCAUAGCAGAAUCCAGCACCCAAGGGUGCUGGGCACCCACAGACGUGGCAUGUGGCCCAUGGGCUAGUCCUUGCCACCGCAGGGGCCAGGCCAACCUUGCCACUACCCAUAAGGACAGCGCAAUGUAGCAAGGCUGUCUUCAGCUCCAGCCCACGGUCCUCAAACUGAGCAUAGCUUUGGCUGGUGCGCAGCCUUGCGGAGGUGAUGCCAAGGCUCUGCCAGGCCCGCCAGCCGGCGGGGACCGUCCUGCCCCACGCGACGGGGUGCUCACGUGACUUAGAGAGCCCACUGCUCCAGCGUGGGAAGUGCCAGUGAGUGAGCCCGGACGUACGCAGACCCACAGUGGCCUCCUGCCUGAUUCAGGGCCACACGCUGGGCAUCGGUGCCCUGACCGCGAGCUGCACUGCUGGACACCCAGCUGGUCUCUGGCAGGUAGCAGCUCCCAGCAUGGGCAGCUCCUACUGGAGCCACCUGAAGAAUUUUACAAGGAUUGGUGCCGGGGUGCCAGUCAGCAUGAGGCAGCUUUCUCUGGAGAGCUCCUCAGGUGACUCUAAGGGUGCAGCUAGAUUUGCAGUCAGCUUCGGGACCUGAAAAUCGACACAGCACGCCGCGGUUUCCUGGCGCGCGCGUCAGCAGCAGCGGCGGCUCCCGCACGCCAGCUCUGCCCUGCUGGGCUGGAGGGGCUGAGGACCCUAGCAGCCUGACUUCUCCUAGAGGAGGUAGAGAGCAAGUGCCCUCGGCUCCGUGCUCCAGUGUGUGCGGCUGGGCGGCCUUCCAUGGGCCUCUCUCCCUCUGUCCUCUCUCCCUCUCUCUCUGUUUA
This is a long non-coding RNA of Octodon degus (degu), 2713 nucleotides long. RefSeq lists it as uncharacterized. The record is from RefSeq and is a predicted model, not a curated record. The transcript has 2 exons. Lineage: Eukaryota; Metazoa; Chordata; Mammalia; Rodentia; Octodontidae.